Long non-coding RNA from Odontomachus brunneus, 777 nucleotides. RefSeq lists it as uncharacterized. The record is from RefSeq and is a predicted model, not a curated record. NCBI's taxonomy places the organism in Eukaryota, Metazoa, Arthropoda, Insecta, Hymenoptera, Formicidae. The transcript is spliced from 2 exons.
CUUGACGUUAGAUGCUUUAACAUCGCUGUCGAGUACGAAUUCUAGUCGAAAAUACGCGAGAUAUCGAUUUUUCGCCAUGAUUUUAGCGUCGAGACCGAGAAAAAUCAUUCGAUCGGAACGUAACGUUGCCUUCAUGACACAUAUAAGCACACAUCUCGCUUACGGAGUAACACACAAACCGUCUCGGCGACAUGAUCGAUCUAAAUGAAUAGGAAUGACUCAAAACGCCAAGAACGACGUCGCCAUGCAAAACUCUAGCAAUAUAUGGAAAACUGCAAGAGCGAAGCGGCUAGACGGCUUUUCCAUCGCGUAAUGGGCGUGUACGCGUCUCAACCACGUUCGAAUGAAAAUUUCGGACUGAACAACGUGUCGCAACGCCGAAAUAACGGCACGAAUUUGACGGCACGCAUAUCUUGUCACGUUGGAAAGCCAGCCAGCCCUUCGACAGGCGAUGAAACUAACGUAUUGCGACGAGAAUGAGAGACGAAGAAUAUUACCCAGGCACCAGUGGCACGUCGUACCGGAAAAGGAAGAGUUAGCCAUUCAGCGCCACGUACGAACAUCUCCGGCUUCCUGUCGAUUCUCGAAGCUCGAUUCUCGCAGCUUCGAGAUUCGAUUAUGGCGGCGUAUAUGUUUGAAGAUGAUGAGAAUGAUAUUUCGAUGCAACAUGUAUCAAGACAAUAAAAGUGAAGACAUAAACCGCCAGUCAUAAACUGAUAUCAAAUUACAUAUUGAAGUUCGAAAUAAGUGCUAAAUAAAUUUUUCUCCCAUUGACUA